Long non-coding RNA from Nymphaea colorata (pocket water lily), 697 nucleotides. RefSeq lists it as uncharacterized. Lineage: Eukaryota; Viridiplantae; Streptophyta; Magnoliopsida; Nymphaeales; Nymphaeaceae. The transcript has 2 exons. The record is from RefSeq and is a predicted model, not a curated record.
CCUUCUCCUCGACUUUGUUGUUCCUUUCCUUCCAUCGUCAAUGUGUUGGUGGCAUCUUGCAGCAACCUUGGGCAGAGGCAGCGGACGGCGACGGCGGAUGGACGGUGACCGGCAACGGCCGACGGACGGCCACUGGACGGCGACGGAUGACGGCGGCAAUGUUUAGGGAUGCACCGUUACUAUCGCGUACAGCGACGCAGCUCAGGAACCCAAAGACAAGGGGAGUGAGGGAGCUUUCGGGCCUUGCUUCGGACGGUGGGAUGAACCUCUCGCUCACCCGAAUACGGACACAAUGGGAUUGAUCCUAAACGGAUGAAUCUGCACCCAAUCAGGAUCCAUAUUGCAGCUUAAUAGGUAUUCCACGUUGAGAGAUCUACCAGUUGAGUUGAUGUGCUGUCCCGAAUUUGAAAUCUGUUUUCAGAAAUGGAAUAAAAUCAAAGAAAUAGCUGGAUUGAGAGUGACCACAUUAGUCCGGUAAAUCUGGCUCCAAACAGACAAUUGCACCCAAGAACCCGCAAAAACAUCAGAUUCCAAUCAGAUCCAUAUUUUUGUUUUUUUCUUGUUUUGCAAAGAAGAACAUUUUGAUGAGCCCAAAUGUUGGUAUCUUAGGCUCCUGUGAUCAAAACUCGAACUAAUAAUGAUGCAUCCCAGAACAAGCACCAAUGCUCGAGCCACAUUGAGGUCGUUAUUUUGUCAA